UCGGCGAGGGCUUCGUCAUCACCGCCCGCGCCCCGGGACUUCAUGGGACUUGUAGUUCCUCCGGGGAGCCUCGGGCGUGCCCCGCGAGGACUGUCCAGGCGGCUCCAGCGGAUAAAAGACCUGCUAUGGGCGGGGUGACAGGGUGGAGGCGUUUCCACCCGAGCUGGGAAGGGAGGCCCCGUUUCGUACUCUGCUGGUCGAGCCGCGGGAACUUAACUUUGUUAUUUCUUUGUGUGCAGACGCCUUCCAAAUCCAGGACCUCAGAAUCAGAGCCCCGUAGUUCCCGCAUCUCUUCCGCCGAGACCUGGAGCAGAGAUGCUUUCUUUCCUUGGCGCUGCUGUGGCGCAGCCUACGGGUUAUCUGCAGAGGGCAUUAUCCAGCUUCUCCCCGAGGCCAUGCCCAGCACCACUAUAACCCCCUCCCGCAGCCCCUCAGUCACAGAGCUGAGAAAGAAUGGUUACCAUGCUAACUCGAACCUCACUCGUGCCCCCUUCUUCACGCCACACAGACCAGAGCCAAAUACAAUGAGUAUUUAGAGAAUCUGCUACGCUGAUCGCUCCCCUCUCCUCGCAGGAGGAUGGAUUUUUAAAUCUGGGAAGUCUUGUGCUACAGUUUUUCUCUGCUACCAAGUAUAUAUAAUAUUGGGACUUUCUAGCUGGCAAAGACCAAGUGAAGAGAUGUGUGAGAUUUUUUUCGAGCUGGCAAAAAGGAGACCCUAUCCAGGAGACUAGGCUUUAAGGAAGCUGUGAGGAAAGACGGCAGCAUCCAUUCCCAGAAUUCCUGACAGACUGGACUGAGAACACCCGUCCCUGCUCCCAGGCUUCUCCUGAGUCCCAGGGCAGGGCUCCCUGCUGCCGCCUCUGUCACUGUCAGAUCCACAGAAAGAUCAGAGAAGAGGGUGGGGCGCUGUGAUGGCUCUCUCUCCUCCACACCUGGGGAAGCUGCUUCACCCUCAAGCUCUGGGGGACUGGCAGAUGUUGUACUAACCUGAAAUUAAAAUCAUCUGUGCAGAAGCAUAUUU
This 1021-nucleotide long non-coding RNA is filed under the name Homo sapiens (human). RNAcentral's name for it is "HSALNT0381717". Lineage: Eukaryota; Metazoa; Chordata; Mammalia; Primates; Hominidae. The record is from RNAcentral.